RNAcentral lists this ribosomal RNA (468 nucleotides) under uncultured bacterium. Its description in RNAcentral is "partial 16S ribosomal RNA". It matches the Rfam family "Bacterial small subunit ribosomal RNA", at positions 28 to 507 of the family's 1533-position model. The record is from RNAcentral.
GACGAACGCUGGCGGCGUGCUUAACACAUGCAAGUCGAACGGAAAGGCCCUGCUUUUGUGGGGUGCUCGAGUGGCGAACGGGUGAGUAACACGUGAGUAACCUGCCCUUGACUUUGGGAUAACUUCAGGAAACUGGGGCUAAUACCGGAUAGGAGCUCCUGCUGCAUGGUGGGGGUUGGAAAGUUUCGGCGGUUGGGGAUGGACUCGCGGCUUAUCAGCUUGUUGGUGGGGUAGUGGCUUACCAAGGCUUUGACGGGUAGCCGGCCUGAGAGGGUGACCGGCGGCAGUGGGAAUGAGAGACGGCCCAGACGCGUACGGGAGGCAGCAGGGGGGAAGAUGGCGCAAUGGCGGGAAGCCUGAGGCAGCAACGCCGGGGGCGGGAUGACGGCCUUUGGGUUGGAAACAGCGGUCGCCGGUGACGAAGGGGGCGGGACGGGAAUGGGUAAAGAAGAAACGGCUAACUAAGGG